GGCGGACCUACCAACUGGAAAGAGUGAGCGUUUUACAGCAGAGGAGACGGAUCUCCUCGUGCGGGAGGUGAAGGCCCGUCAGAACCAGAUCUACGGGGACAGCAGACAGGCACCCAAGCUCCCCGAGAGCACAGCUGUCAGGACUGCCGCGGAGCUCCCCAAGGUGCUGAUCCUGCAGCUAGGACCUGUUCAGCGUUUUCUCCCCCACCCACGUUUGUUAAUUGUUUUCACAUGUUUCCUAGAGCUGUGUUCUGCCUCUUAUUUGCAUGUGUGUCCUCUCUACACUCAGAUAACAAUAUAAUAAUAUAAUAUAAUGUAGCCUAGUAUAACAUGUUAAAAUAAAUGCAAUGUGUGGGCUUUGGUUUUCAAUCAAAAAAAUGAUUGAUUGGUCAGAUAAUUUCACAAUUUCAUUUGUCAUUAUUACAAAUUAUGAUGAUCAUUAUUACUGCGAUUAGAUCAUUCUGAUUAAUGACUGACCAUUAAGACGUGUUUCUGAUAAAUAUU
Long non-coding RNA from Epinephelus moara (kelp grouper), 504 nucleotides. RefSeq lists it as uncharacterized. The record is from RefSeq and is a predicted model, not a curated record. The transcript is spliced from 2 exons. Lineage: Eukaryota; Metazoa; Chordata; Actinopteri; Perciformes; Serranidae.